GCAGACAAAAGAGAAACAGAGGAAUAUCAAUACCACAUCACACAGACGCCUGCAUCUCAGUGCUUUUCAUCUAAAGGCCCUCGAAGAGCGCUAGAGAGAGGAUUUCCUGUCUCACUGGACCGGUGACCACAGAUGGAACACUGGGUUUUCCACUCUCCUACAUCACACCUCCCUUCACCUCCCAGCAAAGCUGUUUCUGCAUGUUCUGAAUCUGGUAGGCUUCAAAGCCCAGGGCCGCGAACACAAGCAGGAAGAGCAUCAGCACGACCAGG
Micropterus salmoides (largemouth bass) is the source of this 272-nucleotide long non-coding RNA. RefSeq lists it as uncharacterized. Lineage: Eukaryota; Metazoa; Chordata; Actinopteri; Centrarchiformes; Centrarchidae. The transcript is spliced from 3 exons. The record is from RefSeq and is a predicted model, not a curated record.